AUACGGAGGGUGCAAGCGUUGCUCGGAAUCACUGGGCGUAAAGCGCUCGCAGGCGGCCUGUCAAGUCAGGUGUGAAAUCCCAGGGCUCAACCCUGGAACUGCACUUGAAACUGGCAAGCUAGAGUACGAGAGAGGGGAGCGGAAUUCCUGGUGUAGAGGUGAAAUUCGUAGAUAUCAGGAGGAACACCCGUGGCGAAAGCGGCUCCCUGGCUCGAUACUGACGCUCAUGAGCGAAAGCGUGGGUAGCAAACAGGAUUAGAUACCCUGGUAGUCCACGCCGUAAACGAUGAGUGCUCGCUAACGGAUUGAUACCAGUUCGUCGGCAAAGUUAACGCAUUAAGCACUCCGCCUGGGAAGUACGGCCGCAAGGCUAAA
RNAcentral lists this ribosomal RNA (375 nucleotides) under uncultured Pseudobdellovibrionaceae bacterium. RNAcentral describes it as "bacterial SSU rRNA". It matches the Rfam family "Bacterial small subunit ribosomal RNA", at positions 523 to 898 of the family's 1533-position model. Lineage: Bacteria; Pseudomonadati; Bdellovibrionota; Bdellovibrionia; Bdellovibrionales; Pseudobdellovibrionaceae. The record is from RNAcentral.